RNAcentral lists this long non-coding RNA (1285 nucleotides) under Pogona vitticeps (central bearded dragon). RNAcentral describes it as "lncRNA (ENSPVIG00000023027.1)". Lineage: Eukaryota; Metazoa; Chordata; Lepidosauria; Squamata; Agamidae. The record is from RNAcentral.
CCUCUAUUAUUUAUUCUGUAAAGUAUGGGAACUGAACCUCAAAAGAAGGUUUUUGUCAGUUUGACAAUGCAUAGUAAAAUAAUUGCCUUUUAAAUUCAUUCCUUAGAAGAAGCAAAAAGAAGAAAAGAAGUUCCAGAAAAGAAAGCUAUUCAUGAAGUUAAAACAAAAGGUACUACCUUAUUUUAAAAUGUGGCAGUUAAUUUACCCACUCUUCAGAGACCUCUGCCUAUUAUAAUUCCUAAAGAAAUAGAAAUAAAAAUAAUUUAUGGUUCGUGUCUUAGAAGCAGAAGAAAGAAAAAAGGUAACUCACAAGAAGAAAAUUAUUCCUGAAAUUAAAGGGAAAGCUUUGGAACAGGAAAAGAAGGUAACCCAAGAGAAGAAAGCUAUUUCUGAAACAAAAAUUAAAGGGGGAAAAGAAGAAAGAAAGAAAGCUCUUGAGAAAACAGCUGUCCCUGAAGUUAAAAAGGCAGAACCAGAAAAAGCUCCUGCAGCCCAUCCAGCUUCUGUGAAGGUAGCUGUGCGAGAACCAUUCAAGAAAGAAAAGCCAGUCGAAAGAGCCAAGCAGCCAGUGAAGGAUGUGCCUGUAAAAGCAUCAGAAACAGAACUAACCAAAAUAGAACCUGCUGCCCAUUUGACUAAAAAAGCAGUACAUGAAAAGAAAGAAGACAGAUUAUUAAAGGCAGUGGAGCAAGACAAACCAAAAUCCAAAGAAACAAAAGAUAUCAGAGGGAAAGAAGCAAAACAUGUGGCACCAAAAGUCAAAGAUGUUGCAAAAGAAAAAGUGAAGUCUCCUACUACUGUGAAAGAAAAAGAGGCAGUAAAACCAAAGGAAGUAAAGCCUACCAUUCCCCAGAAGCAGAAAGCACCUGAAGUGAUAAAAGAAACCAAAGAUACUUCUCAUCGUGCCAUUGCAGGACAAGAGGUUCUUAAGCACGACAAAGGAGCUCCUCAAGGAAAGCCAGAAGAAAUCACAGUAGCAGAUAAGAAAAAAGCAGAAAAGCCUUUGAAGGAAAAAGACAGAAAAAUGGCAGCGGUGACUCAUUUGAAAGAAGAAAAAGCCAAGGUCCCAGCAGUAAAAGAAUCCCAUCACCAUCGUAACAUGACAACAGACAAGCUUUCAAAGGCUUCAAAAGCAACAGCUGCUGUCCGCUACUAUCAGUGUGUCUUUGUAAAUGGAUACAAUGACUACAAACCGCAACACCCUGUUACCCCUGCCCAGGACUACAAAGGAAAGGCCGGGCAGACAAAAAAUUCUGGGCACAAGAUCAAGACACUGAAACAAUAG